CUACAAUGCACGCAAGUGUGAUAGGGGAAUCCCAAGUGCUCAAGCACAGCUUGGGCUUUUGCUAUGUGUAAAUAGCAUGGCGAAUAAGUGGUGGGCAAGACUGGUGCCAGCCGCCGCGGUAACACCAGCGCCACGAGUGGCAAUCACGUUUAUUGGGCCUAAAGCGUCCGUAGCAGGUUUUGUAAAUUUCUUGUGAAACUGCCAGGCUCAACUUGGCAAUGUGCAGGAAACACUGCAAAACUAGAGACCGGGAAGGGUCAGAGGUAUUCCUGAGGGAGCGGUAAAAUGCUAUAAUCUCAGGAGGACCACCGGUGGCGAAGGCGUCUGACUAGAACGGAUCUGACUGUGAGGGACGAAAGCUAGGGGAGCAAACCGG
Molecule: ribosomal RNA, 376 nt
Filed under: uncultured archaeon
Lineage: Archaea
Description: bacterial SSU rRNA
Rfam family: Archaeal small subunit ribosomal RNA
Source: RNAcentral